AUGAGCUUUGCUUCGCCUCCCCAUUCUCAGCUCCUUCCCCAAACCCCAGGCACCUGUAGCGCUUGGACCUGGAGCUGGCCCUGUUCGCCAGCACGGCCCACAGCAGGGCCUGCAAGAGGACCAGGGGCUCCGCUGGGACUUCAAUCGGCCGCCACCUCGCGGGAGCAAAACCUCAGGGAUGCAGGGGAUGGAGAAUGGAGGAGGGUGGUUCAAGAGCCUCCCAUUUCUCAAGGGUCCCGUCACCUCUCUGCCUGCCGAGGGGGGGGACGCAACGCAUCGCCGGCAAGGGCACUACGCACCACGCACGAGACGCAGGGCGCCUUUGAGAGAGGCGUCUGCACUGAACCCGAAAUCGCAGACUCCCGGGGAAAUCCCAGCUCGUUUCCGCCCUUCCUGUUCAACCGGGGCUCCUCCAGCAUCGCUGCACCCGGCGCAAAACCCUCGAGGAAACCGGCUCGUCACCGCCGCCGCACCGACCAGGGGGAAGAGCCGUUCGCUGAAGUCGCAGCUGGGGAGGUUUCACAUCGCGCUUCUGCAUUUCUCAGCUGCGGGGGGGGGUCAGAAACCCCUGUCGCGAGGCCGCCGCCGCGCUCCCGGCCCCAGAGCGAUGGGAGCAAGGAUGGCGCAGGGAAGGGGGAGCGCCUUCACCCCGCCGCAAGGCCCACGGGGCUGGCGUGGACCUGCUCCGCGGGUCACAAGCCAUCGGCGGCAGUAGCCCCGUCAAGGAUCUCUAGGCGCGCGGCUACCUUGAUUUCCCGAAUCCUGCAAACCGGCUGCCUACGAGCUGCUACGGCCCUAGCUCCCAGGCUGCGGCUCGGUUCAGCCAGGAGCGGGGACGUUGUGACCCGGACACCGCUGGUCCUGUCCCUCCUGCCAACGUGCCACCUUAGGGCACCAGAGCAAGCUGCAAAACCAGGGGAGCGGAGAAGCCCGAGGAGAUCUUGGCAAAGAGCCGGAGCUGAACUCAAGCCAGGCAGUCGCUUGGCUGCGGAUACGGCUGACCGGUGGGUCACAGGCAGGGGAGCAAGCGCCAAGCCGGGGGUGAGCCGGAAUUUCGCUCCCCGAGGCACGUUGGCAGCGGCCGCGGGGUCGCCAGCGGGAGCACGCACACCGCCACCGUCUCCCAUCGGUGCCGAGCGCAGACGGUAUCAGACCGUAAAGGUGCCGUCUCGGGGAGGCUGCAGCUGUUUUGCUCAGGGGCGAAAGCUGGUGAAGAUGAAAACAGGGAGAAAGAACUAA
This 1239-nucleotide long non-coding RNA is filed under the name Apteryx haastii (Great spotted kiwi). Its description in RNAcentral is "lncRNA (ENSAHAG00000004895.1)". Lineage: Eukaryota; Metazoa; Chordata; Aves; Apterygiformes; Apterygidae. The record is from RNAcentral.